AUGCACGCUGACAGAAUGCUUAACACCUGCAAGUCGAUGGGGAAGUGGUGCUUGCACCAUGGCACCCAUGGCGGACGGGUGAGUAACGCGUAAGGGACUUACCUGCAGGACUGGGAUAACAGGGGGAAACUCCUGACAAGACCGGAUAAUGUCAUGGAGCUGCAUGGCUUUAUGAUGAAAGGAGACGCCUGCGGAGAGCCUUGCGUCCUAUUAGCUAGUUGGUGAGGUAAUGGCUCACCAAGGCGAAGAUAGGUAGCCGGCCUGAGAGGGUGGACGGCCACAAGGGGACUGAGAUACGGCCCUUACUCCUACGGGAGGCAGCAGUGGGGAAUAUUGGACAAUGGGGGCAACCCUGAUCCAGCAAUUCUGUGUGCACGAAGAAGGUUUUCGGAGUGUAAAGUGCUUUCAGCAGGGAAGAAGUAAGUGACGGUACCUGCAGAAGAAGCGACGGCUAAAUACGUG
Molecule: ribosomal RNA, 462 nt
Filed under: uncultured bacterium
Lineage: Bacteria
Description: partial 16S ribosomal RNA
Rfam family: Bacterial small subunit ribosomal RNA
Source: RNAcentral